This 432-nucleotide unclassified non-coding RNA is filed under the name soil metagenome. Its description in RNAcentral is "partial contains 5.8S ribosomal RNA, internal transcribed spacer 2, and large subunit ribosomal RNA". The stretch from base 1 to 120 matches the Rfam family "5.8S ribosomal RNA", at positions 35 to 154 of the family's 154-position model. The record is from RNAcentral.
GAUGAAGAACUUAGCGAAAUGCGAUACGUAAUGUGAAUUGCAGAAUUCAGUGAAUCAUCGAAUCUUUGAACGCAUAUUGCGCUCUCUGGUAUUCCGGAGAGCAUGCUUGUUUGAGUAUCAGUAAACACCUCAACUUCCAUAUCUUUUUUGAAAUGGGAGUUGGACUUGAGUGAUCCCAACGCUUUUCCUCACCGAAAAGUGGCGGGUUACUUGAAAUGCAGGUGCAGCUGGACUUUUCUCUGAGCUAUAAGCAUAUCUAUUUAGUCUGCCUAAAAAACAGAUUAUUACCUUUGCUGCAGCUAACAUAAAGGAGAUUAGUUCUUGUGCUGACUGAUGCAGGAUUCACAAAGACGGCUUCGGCCGACUUUGUAAACUCGAUCUCAAAUCAAGUAAGACUACCCGCUGAACUUAAGCAUAUCAAUAAGCGGAGGA